GACGAACGCUGGCGGCGUGCUUAACACAUGCAAGUCGAACGAAAAGAGGGAAAGAGCUUGCUCUUUCCGGAAUUGAGUGGCAAACGGGUGAGUAACACGUAAACAACCUGCCUUCAGGAUGGGGACAACAGACGGAAACGACUGCUAGUACCGAAUAAGUUCCAAGGGCCGCAUGGCCCAUGGAAGAAAAGGUGGCCUCUACCUGUAAGCUAUCGCCUGAAGAGGGGUUUGCGUCUGAUUAGCUGGUUGGAGGGGUAACGGCCCACCAAGGCGACGAUCAGUAGCCGGUCUGAGAGGAUGAACGGCCACACUGGAAUUGAGACACGGUCCAGACUCCUACGGGAGGCAGCAGUGGGGAAUCUUCCGCAAUGGGCGAAAGCCUGACGGAGCAACGCCGCGUGAGUGAUGACGGCCUUCGGGUUGUAAAACUCUGUGAUCCGGGACGAAAAGGCAGAGUGCGAAGAACAAACUGCAUUGACGGUACCGGAAAAGCAAGCCACGGCUAACUACGUG
RNAcentral lists this ribosomal RNA (513 nucleotides) under uncultured bacterium. Its description in RNAcentral is "partial 16S ribosomal RNA". It matches the Rfam family "Bacterial small subunit ribosomal RNA", at positions 28 to 507 of the family's 1533-position model. The record is from RNAcentral.